Molecule: non-coding RNA, 109 nt
Filed under: Alloactinosynnema sp. L-07
Lineage: Bacteria; Bacillati; Actinomycetota; Actinomycetes; Pseudonocardiales; Pseudonocardiaceae
Also listed under: 1 other name
Description: TPP riboswitch aptamer (THI element)
Rfam family: TPP riboswitch aptamer (THI element)
About the family: Vitamin B(1) in its active form thiamin pyrophosphate (TPP) is an essential coenzyme that is synthesised by coupling of pyrimidine and thiazole moieties in bacteria. The previously detected thiamin-regulatory element, thi box was extended, resulting in a new, highly conserved RNA secondary structure, the THI element, which is widely distributed in eubacteria and also occurs in some archaea.
Source: Rfam by way of RNAcentral
ACCUGGUCGCACGGGAGUCCGAGAAACGGGCUGAGAGGGAGCUGGGAUCGCUCCGACCGUCGAACCUGAUCCGGGUCAUGCCGGCGCAGGGAGCGUGGUGUGUGGUGAA